This 291-nucleotide ribosomal RNA is filed under the name uncultured bacterium. RNAcentral's name for it is "partial 16S ribosomal RNA". It matches the Rfam family "Bacterial small subunit ribosomal RNA", at positions 773 to 1060 of the family's 1533-position model. The record is from RNAcentral.
GUGGAUUAGAUACCCUGGUAGUCCUAGCCGUAAACGAUGGAUAUUAGAUAUUAGCGGUUUCGACCCCGCUAGUGUCGUAGCUAACGCGAUAAAUAUCCCGCCUGGGGAGUACGGUCGCAAGAUUAAAACUCAAAGCAAUUGACGGGGGCCCGCACAAGCGGUGGAUCAUGUGGUUUAAUUCGACGCAACGCGAAGAACCUUACCAAGGCUUGACAUCUACGGAAUCUGGUGGAAACAUCGGAGUGCCCGCAAGGGAAUCGUAAGACAGGUGGUGCACGGCCGUCGCCAACU